UUAAGCGACUAAGCGUACACGGUGGAUGCCCUGGCAGUCAGAGGCGAUGAAGGACGUGCUAAUCUGCGAAAAGCGUCGGUAAGGUGAUAUGAACCGUUACAGCCGGCGAUGUCCGAAUGGGGAAACCCAGUGUGAUUCGUCACACUAUCGUUAACUGAAUACAUAGGUUAACGAGGCGAACCGGGGGAACUGAAACAUCUAAGUACCCCGAGGAAAAGAAAUCAACCGAGAUUCCCCCAGUAGCGGCGAGCGAACGGGGAGCAGCCCAGAGUCUGAAUCAGCUUGUGUGUUAGUGGAACGGUCUGGAAAGUCCGACGGUACAGGGUGAUAGUCCCGUACACCAAAAUGCACAGGCUGUGAACUCGAAGAGUAGGGCGGGACACGUGGUAUCCUGUCUGAAUAUGGGGGGACCAUCCUCCAAGGCUAAAUACUCCUGACUGACCGAUAGUGAACCAGUACCGUGAGGGAAAGGCGAAAAGAACCCCGGCGAGGGGAGUGAAAAAGAACCUGAAACCGUGUACGUACAAGCAGUGGGAGCACCUUCGGGUGUGACUGCGUACCUUUUGUAUAAUGGGUCAGCGACUUAUAUUCUGUAGCAAGGUUAACCGUAUAGGGGAGCCGCAGGGAAACCGAGUCUUAACUGGGCGUUAAGUUGCAGGGUAUAGACCCGAAACCCGGUGAUCUAGCCAUGGGCAGGUUGAAGGUUGGGUAACACUAACUGGAGGACCGAACCGACUAAUGUUGAAAAAUUAGCGGAUGACUUGUGGCUGGGGGUGAAAGGCCAAUCAAACCGGGAGAUAGCUGGUUCUCCCCGAAAGCUAUUUAGGUAGCGCCUCGUGAACUCAUCUUCGGGGGUAGAGCACUGUUUCGGCUAGGGGGUCAUCCCGACUUACCAACCCGAUGCAAACUACGAAUACCGAAGAAUGUUAUCACGGGAGACACACGGCGGGUGCUAACGUCCGUCGUGAAGAGGGAAACAACCCAGACCGCCAGCUAAGGUCCCAAAGUCACAGUUAAGUGGGAAACGAUGUGGGAAGGCACAGACAGCCAGGAUGUUGGCUUAGAAGCAGCCAUCAUUUAAAGAAAGCGUAAUAGCUCACUGGUCGAGUCGGCCUGCGCGGAAGAUGUAACGGGGCUAAACUGUGCACCGAAGCUGCGGCAGCGACACUAUGUGUUGUUGGGUAGGGGAGCGUUCUGUAAGCCUGCGAAGGUGGCCUGUGAGGGUUGCUGGAGGUAUCAGAAGUGCGAAUGCUGACAUAAGUAACGAUAAUGCGGGUGAAAAGCCCGCACGCCGGAAGACCAAGGGUUCCUGUCCAACGUUAAUCGGGGCAGGGUGAGUCGACCCCUAAGGCGAGGCCGAAAGGCGUAGUCGAUGGGAAACAGGUUAAUAUUCCUGUACUUGGUGUUACUGCGAAGGGGGGACGGAGAAGGCUAUGUUAGCCGGGCGACGGUUGUCCCGGUUUAAGCAUGUAGGCGGAGGUUCCAGGUAAAUCCGGUACCUUUUUAACGCUGAGGUGUGAUGACGAGGCACUACGGUGCUGAAGUAACAAAUGCCCUGCUUCCAGGAAAAGCCUCUAAGCAUCAGGUAACAUUAAAUCGUACCCCAAACCGACACAGGUGGUCAGGUAGAGAAUACCAAGGCGCUUGAGAGAACUCGGGUGAAGGAACUAGGCAAAAUGGUGCCGUAACUUCGGGAGAAGGCACGCUGAUAUGUAGGUGAAGCCCCUGCGGGUGGAGCUGAAAUCAGUCGAAGAUACCAGCUGGCUGCAACUGUUUAUUAAAAACACAGCACUGUGCAAACACGAAAGUGGACGUAUACGGUGUGACGCCUGCCCGGUGCCGGAAGGUUAAUUGAUGGGGUUAUCCGUAAGGAGAAGCUCUUGAUCGAAGCCCCGGUAAACGGCGGCCGUAACUAUAACGGUCCUAAGGUAGCGAAAUUCCUUGUCGGGUAAGUUCCGACCUGCACGAAUGGCGUAAUGAUGGCCAGGCUGUCUCCACCCGAGACUCAGUGAAAUUGAACUCGCUGUGAAGAUGCAGUGUACCCGCGGCAAGACGGAAAGACCCCGUGAACCUUUACUAUAGCUUGACACUGAACAUUGAGCCUUGAUGUGUAGGAUAGGUGGGAGGCUUUGAAGCGUGGACGCCAGUCUGCGUGGAGCCAACCUUGAAAUACCACCCUUUAAUGUUUGAUGUUCUAACGUUGGCCCCUUAUCGGGGUUGCGGACAGUGUCUGGUGGGUAGUUUGACUGGGGCGGUCUCCUCCCAAAGAGUAACGGAGGAGCACGAAGGUUAGCUAAUCCUGGUCGGACAUCAGGAGGUUAGUGCAAUGGCAUAAGCUAGCUUGACUGCGAGCGUGACGGCGCGAGCAGGUGCGAAAGCAGGUCAUAGUGAUCCGGUGGUUCUGAAUGGAAGGGCCAUCGCUCAACGGAUAAAAGGUACUCCGGGGAUAACAGGCUGAUACCGCCCAAGAGUUCAUAUCGACGGCGGUGUUUGGCACCUCGAUGUCGGCUCAUCACAUCCUGGGGCUGAAGUAGGUCCCAAGGGUAUGGCUGUUCGCCAUUUAAAGUGGUACGCGAGCUGGGUUUAGAACGUCGUGAGACAGUUCGGUCCCUAUCUGCCGUGGGCGCUGGAGAAUUGAGGGGGGCUGCUCCUAGUACGAGAGGACCGGAGUGGACGCAUCACUGGUGUUCGGGUUGUCAUGCCAAUGGCAUUGCCCGGUAGCUAAAUGCGG
RNAcentral lists this ribosomal RNA (2731 nucleotides) under Klebsiella aerogenes. Its description in RNAcentral is "bacterial LSU rRNA". It matches the Rfam family "Bacterial large subunit ribosomal RNA". Lineage: Bacteria; Pseudomonadati; Pseudomonadota; Gammaproteobacteria; Enterobacterales; Enterobacteriaceae. The record is from RNAcentral.